RNAcentral lists this ribosomal RNA (164 nucleotides) under uncultured bacterium. RNAcentral's name for it is "partial 16S ribosomal RNA". It matches the Rfam family "Bacterial small subunit ribosomal RNA", at positions 355 to 511 of the family's 1533-position model. The record is from RNAcentral.
UAGGAAAUCUUCCACAAUGGACGCAAGUCUGAUGGAGCAACGCCGCGUGAGUGAAGAAGGGUUUCGGCUCGUAAAGCUCUGUUGUUAAAGAAGAACAUAUCUGAGAGUAACUGUUCAGGUAUUGACGGUAUUUAACCAGAAAGCCACGGCUAACUACGUGCCAG